RNAcentral lists this ribosomal RNA (434 nucleotides) under uncultured bacterium. RNAcentral describes it as "partial 16S ribosomal RNA". It matches the Rfam family "Bacterial small subunit ribosomal RNA", at positions 29 to 506 of the family's 1533-position model. The record is from RNAcentral.
AGCGAACGCUGGCGGCAGGCUUAACACAUGCAAGUCGAGCGGGCACUUUCGGGUGUCAGCGGCGGACGGGUGAGUAACGCGUGGGAACGUGCCCUCUGGUUCGGAAUAACUCAGGGAAACUUGAGCUAAUACCGGAUACGCCCUUUUGGGGAAAGGCUUGCUGCCGGAGGAUCGGCCCGCGUCUGAUUAGCUAGUUGGUGAGGUAACGGCUCACCAAGGCGACGAUCAGUAGCUGGUCUGAGAGGAUGAUCAGCCACACUGGGACUGAGACACGGCCCAGACUCCUACGGGAGGCAGCAGUGGGGAAUAUUGGACAAUGGGCGCAAGCCUGAUCCAGCCAUGCCGCGUGAGUGAUCAAGGCGUUAGGGUUGUAAAGCUCUUUUAUCCGGGACGAUAAUGACGGUACCGGAGGAAUAAGCCCCGGCUAACUUCGU